RNAcentral lists this ribosomal RNA (300 nucleotides) under uncultured Acinetobacter sp. RNAcentral describes it as "bacterial SSU rRNA". It matches the Rfam family "Bacterial small subunit ribosomal RNA", at positions 496 to 795 of the family's 1533-position model. The record is from RNAcentral. Lineage: Bacteria; Pseudomonadati; Pseudomonadota; Gammaproteobacteria; Moraxellales; Moraxellaceae.
GCUAACUCUGUGCCAGCAGCCGCGGUAAUACAGAGGGUGCAAGCGUUAAUCGGAUUUACUGGGCGUAAAGCGCGCGUAGGUGGCUAAUUAAGUCAAAUGUGAAAUCCCCGAGCUUAACUUGGGAAUUGCAUUCGAUACUGGUUAGCUAGAGUAUGGGAGAGGAUGGUAGAAUUCCAGGUGUAGCGGUGAAAUGCGUAGAGAUCUGGAGGAAUACCGAUGGCGAAGGCAGCCAUCUGGCCUAAUACUGACACUGAGGUGCGAAAGCAUGGGGAGCAAACAGGAUUAGAUACCCCUGUAGUC